This is a long non-coding RNA of Physella acuta, 361 nucleotides long. RefSeq lists it as uncharacterized. NCBI's taxonomy places the organism in Eukaryota, Metazoa, Mollusca, Gastropoda, Physidae. The record is from RefSeq and is a predicted model, not a curated record.
UUUCUUUUCUUAAAGAUUCUUUCACUCAGUGUACCAAAAACGUUAUCAAGAAGAGUAAAGAAACAGAAAAACCUGAAAAAGAAAUCGUCAUGUCUCGUCUGAUAUUCUUCUACUGUCUAUUGCUUCUACCUGUUAGUAGUGGCGUGUCGGUUGGUACCUGUGAUGAAGCAUGUUGGGAAUACGGUGAUGAUGGUGUUGUUUAUGGCUGUCCUGAGGGCUACGAGUGUAGGUCAAACGGCUGUGGUCAUCAUUGUGUGGCUAUUAGGACAUAAACCCAACAAAGGCGACUUUAUGGAGUCGUGUUGUGAAUGUUGAAAUCAUACAUGAAGAAAGUUGAUUACAUUAAAUCAGUUAAAUUUCA